CCCCCACUCUUCUUCUCACCUGCUCACCUUCCCUCCACCCCGUUCAAACAAACGAAAAAAAAGGAAAACCUUCUCCACCAUUCCAUAGAUCUGCAAACCCUAAACCCUAGAGCAUCUGUCCGCUUGUCGACCUGCCAAGCCAUGUGGCCCUUCUCCAAGUCCAAGGAGCCGCUCCCGCUGAUCCGCUGCCCGGUCUGCGAUGUAGGCCUCGUCAAGCGGUUCGUCUCCAGGACGGCCAAGAAUCCGGGGCGCCCGUUCUACAGAUGCGAGUACUAGGGAAAGGGGGGCUGCAGCUUCUGGAAGUGGGAGGAGGAGUACGCCGCCUACCUCCGGGCGCGCUGGGGCCACAUCACCUCGGUGCCCGCCGUCGCCGCCGGGCCCGCCGAGCGCUAAUCCCAUUCCUCGGUCGGCGUGGCGCUGCUGCUGCUGCUGCACAGCGCUUCCGCGCCUGACAGACAUUUACCCUGCUUUGCCGUAGCGCGUUUCAGAUCCAGUCUCCUGGUCUGUGAGUUGUACUAAUGAUGGUCGCAAGCUUCGCCCGAGAGAGUCGAGAGUCUAAUGUCGUUCUCAUGCUGUCCCCAACUGUUAAGUAAUGGACCACUUCUAAUUCCAGGUUAUUACUGCCUGCCUUGGUUGACAGUUUUAUGCAGAGUUGCGGGUGCUGGCCUAGAGGAGGCCUUGUUUUAAAAUUGUCACUGAUUGUUCUUCAGGUAUCAAUGCCUGAAGCAAAAAUGAGCACGGAGAGAAAUGAUCGCUGUUUUUUUUCCUCUGUGCUUCGUGUGGACAAAUCUUUUUUCCAGGUACCAAUACCUGGUGGCGAGCAAUGGUGAACAUCGCUAAGUUCCACCCUUUUCACUACCAACACCAGGAAUGCGCCAAAAAGAUGAAUUUUUACCAUUCGUUUGGAAUUUGGUGCACAAGAGCUUUGCCUUCUAUUCCACAAUUUGGUGCACACAGUUGUUUCUCAUUCAAGUGAAAAUGAUUCUUCAAAGAGAACAAAUUUUGUAUAGCUGGAAGGUUUUGUUUGCUGCAUUCAUGAACAUCAUGAAGUUCCAUCUCUUUCACUACAACAUCAUGUAUGCGGCAAAAAAAAAUAGGAGUUCACUUCUUUCUGAAUUUGGUGUGGAAGAGUUUUGCCUUCUAUUCCAUCAUUACUUUGUGUCA
Long non-coding RNA from Triticum urartu, 1164 nucleotides. RefSeq lists it as uncharacterized. NCBI's taxonomy places the organism in Eukaryota, Viridiplantae, Streptophyta, Magnoliopsida, Poales, Poaceae. The record is from RefSeq and is a predicted model, not a curated record.